Molecule: long non-coding RNA, 408 nt
Filed under: Linum usitatissimum (flax)
Lineage: Eukaryota; Viridiplantae; Streptophyta; Magnoliopsida; Malpighiales; Linaceae
Description: long non-coding RNA (LUSI_LNC001463)
Source: RNAcentral
AAGCUGGCCAAAACCGUCUGUUGGCUGACAUGGAUGGUCAGAUCUCAUUUGGAAGUGGCACCGGAAAGAGAACUCAUCUCAAUGCUCUCAUUGAUAAAGGGAAUUUCGACGCCAAUGUUGCUGGUGGAGCUGCCAGAAACAGUGUUAACUGUUGGUCUCUUUCGAAUGGAGAUGUCGUGGUAUGUGCCUGCAUAUCGUUUGGGUCAAAGCGUACCAUUUAUAUCUGUCACAAGUGCGCCAAGUUCUGCUUCAGAUAGUAUUUCUGUGUUUUCACUCCUAUAACUAUAUUCUGAAAGUUUUGGAAAUUUGAGUAUGUUAUUGUCUUUGGUUCAUAUAAUAUCGUAUAGGAUAUACAUACUGGAAAGUUAUAAUCAUGUGUUUGAUUGACUUUCACUUGUGUUUCUUUCC